Trifolium pratense (red clover) is the source of this 1124-nucleotide long non-coding RNA. RefSeq lists it as uncharacterized. NCBI's taxonomy places the organism in Eukaryota, Viridiplantae, Streptophyta, Magnoliopsida, Fabales, Fabaceae. The transcript has 3 exons. The record is from RefSeq and is a predicted model, not a curated record.
UCCCAAGACUUCAGAAAAAACCCUCACCUUCGCAAGAACCGGCGAUGCAAACCCUCACCGCCGUCCUCUACCGGCGACAAGAUUGAACCCUCCGCAACCUUUAAUCAACUCACCACCAGCGCCGUCCUCUCUCUCACUCGCAGUCGUCCUCUCUCUCACGAACCCUAACUCCAAAUCGAAGCUUAACUCCAAAUCGAAGCUUCUCUUUCUUUCUCCGGCCUCUACUCUCACGAAUCGAAGCUUGUCGUUCUCUCUCACCCUAGAUUCGCGAUCGAAGAGAUGUCUCUCUAACACUUGUUCUCUCUCGAACCCUAGCCUCCAAUCCCUUUCAUUGAAUCACAAAUUCUAAUCCCUAAUUGAAGAACCAAGGCUUACUGAACCCAAAUCGAAGCUCAGUGAAACGAAUCAAAGCUCUCUCAGCUCGUUACAGAGUCAUAAACUGUUCCGGGAGAAGACAAUGGAUGAUCAAGAACCUACUGAUUUGCUGGUUCAUACAGUCGUGGCCUCUGUUGUGCCAGAAUUGCUUAGCAAGAAGACUACUUUGAAAAGGGUGACUUGAUUUCAUCUCAAUUUUUAUGUAUUUGAAACAUAAUUUAUCUUUGUGUUUGAUGGUUAACACUUAACAAGGUUCCUCUUUAUGGUUGAUUUUUAUGCCUUUAUUAUGAUUAUUAGAAUUUAAUUUGUUGUUCUGAAUUCUGAACAAUGGCCAUGAUCCUUAGCUUAGCUAUUAAGUAGAAGGUUUAGGAUAAAUUGGAAACUCACUCAUCUUUCUUCCAUGGCCGAACCACACACUCCACCAUCACUAUACACUCACUCAAAAUUCAUCUCUCCACCAUUUUCAUCCUUUCGAAGCUUGUUUGAAAGCUAGGAGUUGUGAUGAGCUUCCUCUUCUAAGGUGUUCGAUAAUCCCACGACAUUAACAGAGGAGGAGCUGUAUGAAUUGUGAAACCGCUGGGCAACUUGUUUUCUUGACCUAUAUAUAUAAUCCUGAGGUAGAUUAUGAUGUUGCCGAUGAGGCUUAGGAGCUAGCUAGGUUAAUUUGUAUGAUGUUACGAUGGAUUCAUAUUAAUUAUGAUGUUUUGAAUUGUAAUGACAUUUGGUAUUUUGCUUGAAUGUUGAAUUGU